AAUCCAUAGGUUAAUGAGGCGAACCGGGGGAACUGAAACAUCUAAGUACCCCGAGGAAAAGAAAUCAACCGAGAUUCCCCCAGUAGCGGCGAGCGAACGGGGAGGAGCCCAGAGCCUGAAUCAGCAUGUGUGUUAGUGGAAGCGUCUGGAAAGGCGCGCGAUACAGGGUGACAGCCCCGUACACAAAAGCGCAUGUGCUGUGAGCUCGAUGAGUAGGGCGGGACACGUGGUAUCCUGUCUGAAUAUGGGGGGACCAUCCUCCAAGGCUAAAUACUCCUGACUGACCGAUAGUGAACCAGUACCGUGAGGGAAAGGCGAAAAGAACCCCGGCGAGGGGAGUGAAAAAGAACCUGAAACCGUGUACGUACAAGCAGUGGGAGCC
RNAcentral lists this ribosomal RNA (382 nucleotides) under Salmonella enterica subsp. enterica serovar Infantis. RNAcentral's name for it is "partial 23S ribosomal RNA". It matches the Rfam family "Bacterial large subunit ribosomal RNA", at positions 161 to 581 of the family's 2925-position model. Lineage: Bacteria; Pseudomonadati; Pseudomonadota; Gammaproteobacteria; Enterobacterales; Enterobacteriaceae. The record is from RNAcentral. RNAcentral also lists the same sequence under 2 other names.